RNAcentral lists this ribosomal RNA (250 nucleotides) under uncultured bacterium. RNAcentral's name for it is "partial 16S ribosomal RNA". It matches the Rfam family "Bacterial small subunit ribosomal RNA", at positions 524 to 773 of the family's 1533-position model. The record is from RNAcentral.
UACGAAGGGGGCUAGCGUUGUUCGGAAUCACUGGGCGUAAAGCGCACGUAGGCGGACGUUUAAGUCAGGGGUGAAAUCCCAGGGCUCAACCCUGGAACUGCCCUUGAUACUGGACGUCUCGAGUCCGGGAGAGGUGAGUGGAACUCCGAGUGUAGAGGUGAAAUUCGUAGAUAUUCGGAAGAACACCAGUGGCGAAGGCGGCUCACUGGCCCGGUACUGACGCUGAGGUGCGAAAGCGUGGGGAGCAAAC